AGCUCCUUUAAUGUUAGUCCAGUGAGGCUAAGAAGGAAUCACGAAAACGCCGCUCGUCGUUUUCAUGACUUUAGGUAACGUAUACCCUUCUGCCCUUUGGACAGAAGGGUUUUUAUA
Molecule: regulatory RNA element, 117 nt
Rfam family: PyrR binding site
About the family: This family represents the PyrR binding site and terminator structure. This RNA structure is found upstream of a variety of genes involved in pyrimidine biosynthesis and transport.
Source: Rfam